AGGAAGCCUGGCAAUGGGGUUGAAUGCAUCCCCUAAAUCCAUGCCUUUCCGGACGCCGCCACGGUGGUCAAAUCUGCCUCUGUAGAUAUGAAAACAUGUCCUGCAAUGGCGACAGAUGGUCCAUCUGGACCUGAACCUGGCCUCCAAAUGGAUCGUCCUCUGGCAUGGAGAAAGAAUCCAUGUAAUUGAACUCAAAGAAGUCUAAAUCAGCCGCUUCUCCCCAUUUGGG
RNAcentral lists this unclassified non-coding RNA (229 nucleotides) under Hevea brasiliensis (rubber tree). The record is from RNAcentral. Lineage: Eukaryota; Viridiplantae; Streptophyta; Magnoliopsida; Malpighiales; Euphorbiaceae.